RNAcentral lists this long non-coding RNA (464 nucleotides) under Cricetulus griseus (Chinese hamster). RNAcentral's name for it is "lncRNA (ENSCGRG00015038061.1)". The record is from RNAcentral. Lineage: Eukaryota; Metazoa; Chordata; Mammalia; Rodentia; Cricetidae.
GUUUGACCACUUCCAGAAACUCCAUUUACAACAAAGAUGGCUAAAUGAACACACAAGAUGAUCUUUCUCAAGACCUUGACACUGUAGAAUCGGAUAUGGGAAGACCAGGACUUCAAGCCCAGCCUUGCCUUAACAGUGAGUUUGAGGUCAACAGGAAGAGGAGCUGACCAAGAGUCGAGAUUCUAUUGGCCCCCUGAAUGUUGGUGUCAGUCGAGGGCCUAGAAGUCUAUGGGGCCUCUGGCAGUGGAACCAGUAUUUCCCCUACUACACAAAUGGACUUUGGGAGCCCAUUCGCUACGAAGGAACACUUUCUCAGCCUAGAUACAAUGGAAUAGCCUACGUCCUGGCCCUAAAGAUGUAACAGAUAUUGAUGAUCCGCUAUGGGCGGACUCACCUUCCAUGAGGAAUGGAUGGGGAGAUUGAUACACCCAUAGACACAAGAGGAGGACUUCACCCACCGUAUC